GUGCUCACUUUGGCAGCAUAUAUACUAAAAUUGGAACAAUACAGAGAAAAUUAGCAUGACCCCUGAACAAGGAUGAGACACAAAUUUGUGAAGUGUUCCAUAUUUUU
RNAcentral lists this small nuclear RNA (107 nucleotides) under Carlito syrichta (Philippine tarsier). Lineage: Eukaryota; Metazoa; Chordata; Mammalia; Primates; Tarsiidae. The record is from RNAcentral.